This is a long non-coding RNA of Planococcus citri (citrus mealybug), 891 nucleotides long. RefSeq lists it as uncharacterized. The transcript has 2 exons. NCBI's taxonomy places the organism in Eukaryota, Metazoa, Arthropoda, Insecta, Hemiptera, Pseudococcidae. The record is from RefSeq and is a predicted model, not a curated record.
UAUACCAGCAAAGAGAUGGGCUGAGCACAGAGAUCUUAGUUGUAAUAAGACUUGUUGAAGUAAAGUGUCUGUGCUGGCUGCUGCUAUUUUUCCCUGGUCGCCAAGAGAUACCUGCCUGUUAACAUUGUAUUGACGAGUAUACGAAUACAACACCGAAGUAUUACGCAAAUACAUCGCUAUUCAUCCAUCCAAGUCCAGUCAAGCCAGAACUCCGGACCUGACAAACUCAGUUGAUUGAUUUACGAUAUCGAUUUAGUUAAUUAGCGAAUUGGCUUAUUAACGUUUUAUUUUACCUGACAAUUAAGUUUGAUAAUUAAUAAAUAGUCGUGUGGUUUGUAUUGGCUAUUUCCUGACGCACUUUUGUAGCGACUUUUCCAAACAUUCUUUUUACACAAUGAUAAAUUUUUGGAAGGCAAGUUGACGAAGUUGGUGAAUUAAAGCUUUUACACGUUCUGGAGCGUAGGUAAGCAUAAGUUGAUUUUGUGGGUAGGUAUAGAGUAAAAUCUUUGGCUUCAUGAAUAUCCAUUCAGUUGGUCAAAAAAAAUUUUUUGCUGGAGAAGGCCAGAUUGCAAAAUUUAUUUGAGCCCUAAAAUUUUAAUUUUCUUCAAAAUUUGAAAUUCGAAUACCUAUUUUUGAAGCCAAAGGGUUAAUCUAUACGUCAAGCUAUCAACAUAUCCACGAAAUCAACUUUCAUUGGCUCUAGAACACAUUAUGAAGCCUUAAUUCGCCAACUUGCCUCCCCCUCCUCUACACUGAGAGAACCAGAUGAGUCAAAAAAUUUCAAAAAAUGAGUUAAGCAUCGAAUUAAAUUUACUCUGAGAAAUGCGAAAAUGUACUCAAUUUAGAUUUUGAUAAAAUUUAAUUUUUUGUAAUAAAAGAUGUAAGAAGUCA